RNAcentral lists this transfer RNA (61 nucleotides) under Cricetulus griseus (Chinese hamster). It matches the Rfam family "tRNA". From Rfam's summary of the family: Transfer RNA (tRNA) molecules are approximately 80 nucleotides in length. Their secondary structure includes four short double-helical elements and three loops (D, anti-codon, and T loops). Lineage: Eukaryota; Metazoa; Chordata; Mammalia; Rodentia; Cricetidae. The record is from Rfam by way of RNAcentral.
GGGGGUGUGGCUCAGUGGCAGAGCACUUGCCUAGCAUGCAAAGGCUUUGUCUCCACUCCUA